AGGACGAACGCUGGCGGCGUGCUUAACACAUGCAAGUCGAGCGGAAAGGCCCUUCGGGGUACUCGAGCGGCGAACGGGUGAGUAACACGUGAGCAACCUGCCCUUAGCUCCGGGAUAGCUCCGGGAAACCGGAAUUAAAUACCGGAUAUGACCUAGGCCGACAUCGGCUGUGGUGGAAAGUUUUUCGGCUGGGGAUGGACUCGCGGCCUAUCAGCUUGUUGGUGGGGUAAUGGCCUACCAAGGCGACGAC
This 250-nucleotide ribosomal RNA is filed under the name uncultured bacterium. RNAcentral's name for it is "partial small subunit ribosomal RNA". It matches the Rfam family "Bacterial small subunit ribosomal RNA", at positions 26 to 280 of the family's 1533-position model. The record is from RNAcentral.